Pollicipes pollicipes is the source of this 696-nucleotide long non-coding RNA. RefSeq lists it as uncharacterized. The record is from RefSeq and is a predicted model, not a curated record. The transcript is spliced from 4 exons. Lineage: Eukaryota; Metazoa; Arthropoda; Thecostraca; Pollicipedomorpha; Pollicipedidae.
ACGGCGGGCGAGUCGGCUGGUGCUGCCCACGGGGUUUAGUUCUACUAAAAUGUUGUGGACAUCUGUGUAAAAAUGGUUAAUUGUGCUGUGACCACCUGCCAAAAUGUGUUUGAUGGUAAAAAUAAUGUAAAUUGCAGAAGUUUCUUUGUGUUUCCUAAAGGCGGUGAACUACGAAAAGCUUGGGCUGAAAGAUGUGGGUUACAAGAAUCUGAUCUGAAGGAAUCUGCUCGUGUAUGUUCAGAUCAUUUCGCGGAGUGUGAUUACAAACCAACCAAAAAAAGAAAAUUGCUUCUUCCGGAGGCAGUGCCUUGGGUGGACGUACCUGGGGCAGGCAUCGUUCUGAUUAUAAGGCCUGCAGAGCAUGGUCAGAGUGCCCUGUUUGAGAGGGCGAGGACUGGUGGUUCCCAGCAGGACUGGCAGCAGGGAGCAGGACCCAGUGGGAUGACAGCUGCCAGCAGGCACCAGCCAGAAAACAGAGCUGGUACCAGUUUGAAGGACAUCCCUGAAGGCCAUGCAGGUGCCCUCUCCACCUCAUCUCGCAUCCAAACGCAACCAAACGACGUCCAUCACCAAAGCGGCGCGCGGAGGACACCGCCUGCGGGGCUGCGGCUGUGGCGCGCCUCCGAGACCACGCUCCGCUUACAGAACCGCCGGCUGCUGGCGGACAACCAGCGGCUGCGGCUGCGCCUGCGACAG